This 460-nucleotide ribosomal RNA is filed under the name uncultured bacterium. Its description in RNAcentral is "partial 16S ribosomal RNA". It matches the Rfam family "Bacterial small subunit ribosomal RNA", at positions 338 to 795 of the family's 1533-position model. The record is from RNAcentral.
CCUACGGGAGGCUGCAGUGAGGAAUAUUGGUCAAUGGGCGCGAGCCUGAACCAGCCAAGUAGCGUGAAGGAUGACUGCCCUACGGGUUGUAAACUUCUUUUAUAAAGGAAUAAAGUGCGGGACGUGUCCCGUUUUGUAUGUACCUUAUGAAUAAGGAUCGGCUAACUCCGUGCCAGCAGCCGCGGUAAUACGGAGGAUCCGAGCGUUAUCCGGAUUUAUUGGGUUUAAAGGGUGCGUAGGCGGCCUUUUAAGUCAGCGGUGAAAGUCUGUGGCUCAACCAUAGAAUUGCCGUUGAAACUGGGAGGCUUGAGUAUGUUUGAGGCAGGCGGAAUGCGUGGUGUAGCGGUGAAAUGCUUAGAUAUCACGCAGAACCCCGAUUGCGAAGGCAGCCUGCCAAGCCAUGACUGACGCUGAUGCACGAAAGCGUGGGGAUCAAACAGGAUUAGAUACCCUAGUAGUC